RNAcentral lists this ribosomal RNA (504 nucleotides) under uncultured bacterium. Its description in RNAcentral is "bacterial SSU rRNA". It matches the Rfam family "Bacterial small subunit ribosomal RNA", at positions 28 to 521 of the family's 1533-position model. The record is from RNAcentral.
GAUGAACGCUAGCUACAGGCUUAACACAUGCAAGUCGAGGGGCAGCAUGAACUUAGCUUGCUAAGUUUGAUGGCGACCGGCGCACGGGUGAGUAACACGUAUCCAACCUUCCGUUUACUCAGGGAUAGCCUUUCGAAAGAAAGAUUAAUACCUGAUAGUAUGGUGAGAUUGCAUGAUAGCACCAUUAAAGAUUUAUUGGUAAACGAUGGGGAUGCGUUCCAUUAGGUAGUAGGCGGGGUAACGGCCCACCUAGCCGACGAUGGAUAGGGGUUCUGAGAGGAAGGUCCCCCACAUUGGAACUGAGACACGGUCCAAAACUCCUACGGGAGGCAGCAGUGAGGAAUAUUGGUCAAUGGGCAGAGCCUGAACUAGCCAAGUAGCGUGAAGGAUGAAGGUCCUACGGAUUGUAAACUUCUUUUAUACGGGAAUAAAGUAUCCUACGUGUAGGAUUUUGUAUGUACCGUAUGAAUAAGCAUCGGCUAACUCCGUGCCAGCAGCCGCGGU